RNAcentral lists this ribosomal RNA (460 nucleotides) under uncultured bacterium. RNAcentral describes it as "partial 16S ribosomal RNA". It matches the Rfam family "Bacterial small subunit ribosomal RNA", at positions 338 to 795 of the family's 1533-position model. The record is from RNAcentral.
CCUACGGGAGGCAGCAGUGAGGAAUAUUGGUCAAUGGACGCAAGUCUGAACCAGCCAUGCCGCGUGCAGGAUGACGGCUCUCUGAGUUGUAAACUGCUUUUGUACGAGGGUAAACCCCGAUACGUGUAUCGGGUUGAAAGUAUCGUACGAAUACGGAUCGGCUAACUCCGUGCCAGCAGCCGCGGUAAUACGGAGGAUCGGAGCGUUACCCUGAUUUAUUGGGGUUAAAGGGUGCGUAGGCGGUUUGAUAAGUUAGAGGUGAAAUGUCGGGGCUCAACCCGGAAACUGCCUUGAAUACUGUUGGACUAGAGAAUAGAUGAGGUAGGCGGAAUGUAUGGUGUAGCGGUGAAAUGCUUAGAGAUCAUACAGAACACCGAUGGCGAAGGCAGCUUACCAAUCUAUAUCUGACGUUGAGGCACGAAAGCGUGGGUAGCAAACAGGAUUAGAUACCCCGGUAGUC